This 253-nucleotide ribosomal RNA is filed under the name uncultured bacterium. RNAcentral's name for it is "partial 16S ribosomal RNA". It matches the Rfam family "Bacterial small subunit ribosomal RNA", at positions 524 to 776 of the family's 1533-position model. The record is from RNAcentral.
GACAGAGGGGGCAAGCGUUGCUCGGAAUCACUGGGCUUAAAGGGCGCGUAGGCGGGCCAGCCAGUCUGUGGUGAAAGCCUCCAGCUUAACUGGAGAAGUGCCGUGGAUACUGCUGGCCUCGAGGAGGAUAGGGGCAUCUGGAACGGUCGGUGGAGCGGUGAAAUGCGUUGAUAUCGACCGGAACUCCGGUGGCGAAGGCGAGGUGCUGGGUCCUUUCUGACGCUGAUGCGCGAAAGCCAGGGGAGACAAGCGG